UACGGAGGGGGCUAGCGUUGUUCGGAAUUACUGGGCGUAAAGCGCGCGUAGGCGGAUCUGCCAGUCUGGGGUGAAAGCCCGGGGCUCAACCCCGGAACUGCCUUCGAGACUGCGCGGCUCGAGACCGGAAGAGGAGGGUGGAAUACCCAGUGUAGAGGUGAAAUUCGUAGAUAUUGGGUGGAACACCAGUGGCGAAAGCGGCUCUCUGGUCCGGUUCUGACGCUGAGGCGCGAAAGCGUGGGGAGCAAACAGG
This 253-nucleotide ribosomal RNA is filed under the name uncultured bacterium. Its description in RNAcentral is "partial 16S ribosomal RNA". It matches the Rfam family "Bacterial small subunit ribosomal RNA", at positions 524 to 776 of the family's 1533-position model. The record is from RNAcentral.